Topomyia yanbarensis is the source of this 3549-nucleotide long non-coding RNA. RefSeq lists it as uncharacterized. The transcript has 8 exons. The record is from RefSeq and is a predicted model, not a curated record. NCBI's taxonomy places the organism in Eukaryota, Metazoa, Arthropoda, Insecta, Diptera, Culicidae.
ACUUCCACUUUCUACACUCAAAAAAUAAUUCACUUUGAUUGUAUCUGAAUUUUCACGUAAAUGAAUAUUUUCCAUCUUUCAUCGUGCAUUACGUGAUUCCUUUAAAACACAUUUGACAAUCCUGUAGGAAUUAUUUGAUUCACACAUUUACGUGAUACAACGUUGAACGUUAAAACACAGUUCACGUGAAUGUCCUGUGUGAAGCAACGAGAAGAUGGCUGAAAAUUUAUUCUUUGUGGCAGCUAGCGAUAUUUCAUGAGCGGGCGAACAAUGUUAGCAUUGCAGAAGCUGCCACUUCCGCCAACGGAAAAAAAUGUACCAGAAGAAACGGAACCAAGUUGAAAUCGGUUGCCAAGGAACCCUCUGAAAAUAGCAAGCCUGAAGAAAGUAUUCACUGCAACGAUAGGUGAUGGAAGAUAGUCCCUGUUGACGUAAACCCUGCUUCCUUUAAUUCCAAUCAAAGCAAGAUAAACAAAGACGCGGCCAAGAACAGCGGUUUAACAAUAAGAUUUUCAACAAUAUCAUCUGGCAGCUCUGCUCCGUAAUAAACAAAACUUUAUUUUUAUUCCGUUUUGUUACUUGAAGAAAAACAGAGAAAUUUCAUGGUACAAGUUGCUGACACCGGAACACGUUUUUCUAGUGUACUGCUGAUAGCGAAAUUCUAAUCAUGAAUGAAACAAACGGUGGUGUGUAGAUCUUUUUGAGAAUUUUCAAUGACCACGCCGGCAGAAAGCUUUCCUUGGGGGGACACGAGUCGAUCCAAGAAUGUAGGUGAUGAUUCUGAAUGUUGAAUACGACGUUUGAAAAUUACAGCAUCCUGCAGCAAAAGAACGCCAUCUAUAACACCGCUGUUUCGAAGUACUACGGUUUCUGUUGAAGCGUGGAAUGAUAACCGCUACUCUACGAAACACGAUUGGAAUCCCGCCCGAAUGACACAUUCAACACAAACGUGGAAAAUGUACACCAAGAUAGCAUAAACGAUAUUUUCCAAGAGUAUACAAGAUCGAAAUUUGCUUUGCUAUGACAUUAAAGGAUCGUUAUGUAAUGGUUUGGUCCAUGGAGGAAAUUGAAAUCACUGGUGGAGGAAAAAUAACUGGUCCGGAUGUGCAUUGGUCGAAUGUUUACUUGCUGGUUGAUUUGGCGACGUCAUUUCUGCUUGGUGUGCGGAAAAUGUUAAGCUAAAAUGCAUCUAAUUUGCCCCCACUGGCUACAACGGAGGUGUAAAUCAUUUAGAGAUAUCCGUUCUCAAUAUAAAUGAGACUAUUGAUAAAAGCGUACGUAGAAAAGCGACUUUAAAUCAUCCAACAGAUGCGAGAAUUGCUCGAAAAUUAGAAUGAUAUUUCACUGUUUAUAUGUAAAAGAUUGAUAAUGAAAAAUCAUCCCGAGUCGUUUUCUUAGAUGACAAAAAGUAUGCUUGUGAGAUUGACGAUCUUUUGCACCUGCAAAAAGUGUAGAACCAAAUACAAAUAUGAUGGAACUCUUCUACACCUUCGAAGAUCCAAAUGAAGCAAACAUAAAAAAAACUAAAGCGAGGAACAUUUCAACACAAGCCGAACGACACCAAACUAUUAGUUGAUUUCAAGCCAAUAUUAAAUUUCAGCAAAACAAAACUGGACCGAAGAGUGACUACAACGGUCAAGGUUGUCGAGUCUCAUUAGAGUACAGCUAGAAAUUGAACCGAAAUUCUGACUGGUUCUGGCUAUUUCGGAGUAUUCCGGCUCCAAGUAACAUAACCGAUUCUAAUUAACAUCACUGAUGCUACUGGAGCCGGAAUAGUAUAGAUCCAGCCAGAAUUCCGACUCAUUUUCCGGCUGGACUUACUGGGAUGGCUCGUCCGAAUUUUCUCCCAAAAAGAAAGGGGAAUUUUAUGCCCUAUUCAUAAGAUUGCCGAGUUUUGUUCGAUUUUUGACACUAGCCGUCACUCUUCUUACAUACACUGUGGCCGAUACCACUGUAUCACCGGAAAGGCUUACCAACGGUUUAUGGUGCUACGUGGAUACUCAUAUUUGCAAUCGUUCAACGUGGACUGGCAGGCGGUGUCGCAACUUUGCUUUCUAAUUAAAAGCAGGAAUUACUUCACUUGGUAUUCAAUAGUAACGAGGAAUUCUUUGGUCCGGUAUUGUACAUGGUGCUUGGCAAUGAACUGUUAAAUACCAUUUGCAGCGAUGUUGACAAAGCAAACGACCGGAAUGGGGGUGCAACCUUUAGCGAAAGUUAAUGAGGCUGCAUUCUGUUUGGUCUUUCACAGAUAUUCAAUUAAAAUGUUCCAGCUCUAAUUUGCAGCUACGCAUUUCGAUAUCUAGGGUCAGAUGCAUUGAAUGUGGUCGACAUACAUAGUGUCACAUGCUAGCGGCAAUAGGAGCACGAUGUACUGCCGCUAUACGCAUAAAUGUCCCAUGUGCUAUGAGAUUCCAUAUCCACAUGGGACAAUUAUGCGUAGAGCGGCAGUGUAGCAGUUGUGAUUAUGGUGCACAAUAAAACUUGGUUUGUGGAUGCCACAGUAGCGACAUAUGUAUGUAGGAUUGUCCAAGAGCCGCGAGAUGAUCUCAAGAUCCAACAUUGUAAACGGUGAUGGCCCACUCUGAAAACCCGUGCUGGAAUGGUACUCAUACGGUCUUCGGAAUGUGAUCGUCUUGGAUUUCUUGUCUGCAAGGCAGAUUAGGAUGUUGUGCUAUUGUGCAGAUAACCAUAUUUAGUUAAAACUUUCUCAAGGAACUGAAAAUUUGUAACAUGAUACAGAGCACGGACUUGAAGAAAUUGUAACAACAGAAGGAUGAAACCGGCAAAUUAGAUGAGUCAAACAAAAAACGCCAUCACAUGCUAAAGAAACAAGCGGAGUCGCUGAUGGUAACUGACGUGUGGUAUACCUGCGUUAGUGCAGGUACUACAACGCAUUUAGUUCAGCUCAAUUGACGAAUCGUCAGUCAACGGAGCUUCAGUGUACGCUUCCUGUCAAACUUGGGGUCAUAGUUUAUGAAUAGAAUCAGUAUGGCUAACACAAGUCCGUUAAUUUAGUUCUAGAUACUAUUACAUCAGCAGCAACAUUCUAAAAUAAAGAAUAAAUUGUAAGACAUAUUCAUACAAUACACGAGUCGACUAGCGAUAAGAAAGUACUUCAGCGCUGCGAAUAGCGCCUCCAUUUUAUUUUCAUGCAACUCGACCAUUUUUUUUUAAUUGCAUCAAGAUUACCAAUAUUUUAAAUAAGAUUUAUAAAUAUUUUCAAAUGCAUAAGGAAUGACGAGUUUUAUAGCAAUACGUAACGAAUUUUAUAUAACUGACGAAUCGAAGUUCAUAAAGUUGCAACAUCAAGAAAACCAUAAGACAUACUAAUGAAUCCAUAAGCUUAUUCGUUGCGGCAAAAAAAUGAAUCUCGCUAGUACAAUUUUCAAGUUAACUACUGUUCAUUAUUCAAAUCCACUCAAAUAAAAUAAGGUUGAAAAAAUCUUACCAAUAAAAAUUACAAUUCUAGGCGCACAAUUUAUAAUUAAGAGUAAAUAUGUAUUUUAUAUUUAGUUAUUGCAAUAAAAGAUUUAAAUAAAACGAAGUAAA